UUGAUCCAUGGCUCAGAUUGAACGCUGGCGGCAGGCCUAACACAUGCAAGUCGAGCGGUAGAGAGAAGCUUGCUUCUCUUGAGAGCGGCGGACGGGUGAGUAAUGCCUAGGAAUCUGCCUGGUAGUGGGGGAUAACGCUCGGAAACGGACGCUAAUACCGCAUACGUCCUACGGGAGAAAGCAGGGGACCUUCGGGCCUUGCGCUAUCAGAUGAGCCUAGGUCGGAUUAGCUAGUUGGUGAGGUAAUGGCUCACCAAGGCGACGAUCCGUAACUGGUCUGAGAGGAUGAUCAGUCACACUGGAACUGAGACACGGUCCAGACUCCUACGGGAGGCAGCAGUGGGGAAUAUUGGACAAUGGGCGAAAGCCUGAUCCAGCCAUGCCGCGUGUGUGAAGAAGGUCUUCGGAUUGUAAAGCACUUUAAGUUGGGAGGAAGGGCAUUAACCUAAUACGUUGGUGUCUUGACGUUACCGACAGAAUAAGCACCGGCUAACU
Molecule: ribosomal RNA, 495 nt
Filed under: Pseudomonas sp. CL2.31
Lineage: Bacteria; Pseudomonadati; Pseudomonadota; Gammaproteobacteria; Pseudomonadales; Pseudomonadaceae
Description: bacterial SSU rRNA
Rfam family: Bacterial small subunit ribosomal RNA
Source: RNAcentral